RNAcentral lists this ribosomal RNA (252 nucleotides) under uncultured Bacteroidales bacterium. RNAcentral's name for it is "partial 16S ribosomal RNA". It matches the Rfam family "Bacterial small subunit ribosomal RNA", at positions 524 to 776 of the family's 1533-position model. Lineage: Bacteria; Pseudomonadati; Bacteroidota; Bacteroidia; Bacteroidales. The record is from RNAcentral.
UACGUAGGGGGCAAGCGUUAUCCGGAUUUACUGGGUGUAAAGGGUGCGCAGGCGGUCUGUUAAGUCAGCGGUCAAAGCCCGGGGCUCAACCCCGGCCCGCCGUUGAAACUGGCAGUCUCGAGUUGGAGAGAAGUAUGCGGAAUGCGCGGUGUAGCGGUGAAAUGCUUAGAUAUUGCGCAGAACUCCGAUUGCGAAGGCAGCAUACCGGCGGCGAUCUGACGCUGAGGCACGAAAGCGUGGGUAUCGAACAGG